This 253-nucleotide ribosomal RNA is filed under the name uncultured bacterium. Its description in RNAcentral is "partial 16S ribosomal RNA". It matches the Rfam family "Bacterial small subunit ribosomal RNA", at positions 524 to 776 of the family's 1533-position model. The record is from RNAcentral.
UACGGGGGGGGCAAGCGUUGUUCGGAAUUACUGGGCGUAAAGGGCUCGUAGGUGGCCAACUAAGUCAGACGUGAAAUCCCUCAGCUUAACUGGGGAACUGCGUCUGAUACUGGAUGGCUUGAGUUUGGGAGAGGGAUGCGGAAUUCCAGGUGUAGCGGUGAAAUGCGUAGAUAUCGGGAGGAACACCUAUGGCGAAGGCAGCUUGCUGGGACGGUACUGACGCUGAGGCGCGAAAGCGUGGGGAGCGAACAGG